GCCCGCAGACGGGGAGCUUUGGGAGCCGCAGUCCUUGUUCUGUGACUUGGCACAGGAAACCGUGGCCGCGGUUGCGUUGGGGCACAUGUUUGCGGGUUGUAUUUUUUUUCUCUUCCGCCACAGUUACUCUUACCUAAGCAAGCUGAACAGUCUUUAGCUUUUCCGACCUCCGUCAGGUACAAAUAAUUAGAGUUUAUUGCUGAAAUUACAUAACAAAAGAUCCCAUUAGCCUUAUGACUCUGGGGUGAUGGAAUCUUAAUAACCCUGUUGACAUGGGCUCAGCCGAUACUGGUGAGUUACUCUUGCCAGAGAGCCUUGGACUCGGUCCCUUUCUGCAGAUGGGGAAAGCAUGAUUUGCUGUAGGCUAGUGAGGGGUUGCUAGGAGCACGCUGAGGAAAUGCUGGAGCUCUUGCCCGCGCAUGAUGCUUUGGAGCUUCCUGUGGCUCAUCAGCUAGAGACGUUACGCCCCAGGCCAGAGUGGGUUCUGUGGAACUCUAGGCCCACAGAGCAUUUUGGGAAAAAAAAGUUUCAUGGCCAAAUAAGUCUGGGAAACUGCAUCAUUACCAUCAUCCGGGUUGGGAGGCAGCGGGGCGGGCGUGUAUUGGUACUCUGUGAAGGCUCUGUUAGUGUCCUAACUCUUAGAGCUGCUGAGCAGGCUGUGUGUGAUCCAGUCUGACACAGAUGUAUUUGACCAGAAACUCCUUUUUCCUGUAUUUUAUGAACCACCUAAAGAACAGACUGAUGAGCACUGCGGAACAGAAUGAUAGACACAGAACGAACAGACUGAUAAACUCAACUUUCAAGGUGUCUUGUUUCUGUUCUGUAAGACACUGAUCUCAGCUGUAGAUUUAACAGUGCGGCUUGGGGAUUGUUUGAUACAAGUUUGGUUUCCUGGUUGGGAGGUUUUCCAAAAGCACCCCCAACGCUCCUCAUCAGCAGGAAUGACUAUCUCACUCUGUUGGCGACAGGUGGCAUAUUUUUGUUUGAGCCUCACACAAGCCUUAUCUUGCAAGCGAGUCGAAUUCCACAGUUGUGGCCUCGGGCCACAGAUGCCAGAAACCUACUCAAAACAAAACUCAGCGGAAAAAAAAAAAAA
Vicugna pacos (alpaca) is the source of this 1096-nucleotide non-coding RNA. The record is from RefSeq and is a predicted model, not a curated record. NCBI's taxonomy places the organism in Eukaryota, Metazoa, Chordata, Mammalia, Artiodactyla, Camelidae.